Molecule: non-coding RNA, 2722 nt
Organism: Xyrichtys novacula (pearly razorfish)
Lineage: Eukaryota; Metazoa; Chordata; Actinopteri; Labriformes; Labridae
Source: the annotation of a GenBank genome assembly
AACAGCUGAUACCUCUUACAGAACCCGUUGAGCUCUGCUAUAAAAAUCAAAAGACCACAAUACCGAUACUAGUGUCAGAACAAACACCUAUUGCACUUUUGGGCAGAGAUGCUUUGUGUAGGUUGAAGUGCACAAUACGAUGCACACCAGACGGCUGUCUGGUGGAUGUACCAAGUGAUAGUUGGCAACAACUAUUUAUGAAAACAGAGACUGAAGCGUCUGCAGUGUUUUGGAUUGGGAACCUUAGCCAGGAGUAUCUAGAGGCAGCAAAGCUGUGGGAGAAAUUUGUUGUGGCCAAUAUGACUGAGGUGAAGUUACCUGAGUAUCCAUACCACUGUACACUGAAGUAUUUUAAAGAUGCUACACAGACCAACUCAGCAGACUGGUUGAAGCAACAACCAAAACAAGUCCAGCUUAGCUCCAGUUCAAUAAUUUGGGGCCACAAGGAGCAACUAUGAAGAUAGAGAGUAAUGAAUAUCUUGAAAAAGAACAUGACAUCGAGGAAAGCAUUCCUCACGUGACUGAAGGAAUCAGAGAGAUAUUCAAAACUACGGUCAGACUUGCAAGCCCUUCCACUUCAGAAAGCAGAUGUAGAGUAUUGGACUGAUGGGUCGUGUUAUCAGAAUGGACACAAAUUGAGCGCUGGCUAUGCAGUUGUAAAAGCUGAAGGGGAUGGAUUUGUUGUUGAAAAGGCAAAAACAGUGCAACAACCAGCAUCUGCACAGCUGGUUGAACUUGUAGGACUAACUGAGGCAUGUCUUUUGGCAGAGGGGAAACGAGUGACAAUUUACACAGACUCUGCAUAUGCACAUAAUGUUUGUCACUUGUUCGGAGCACUGUGGAAAAAUCGAGGAUUUAAGAAAACACAUGGGUCUCCUAUACAGCAUCAUGCCCAGAUAACCAAAUUGCUGCAUGAAAUGAUGAAGCCGAACGAAAUAGCAAUAGCUAAGUGUGCAGCACAUAAAGGGGACAUGUCAAGAGUGACUCAGGGCAACAGAGCAGCUGAUGAGGUUGCAAAAGCUGUUCCAGGGGCAGAUAAAGAAGGCAAAGUUCUUCUGGUCACUCAUGAAUUAGACUUGGAAGAUAAAAUCACCCUCGAAGACAUAGUCUCAAUGCAAAAAGCAGCCUCUGAAAUAGACAAACAGUUAUGGCGUGACCGAGGUGCAACACAGGAUGCCACAGGUUUGUGGAGGAAUCAUGAAGGGCUGAUGGUGGCACCUCCAAACCUUCUUAGAUUAAUGAUUCAGGAGGCACAUGGGUUAGCACAUGUUGCAAGGGGGGAAGUUAAAAGAAACAUCAUAAAGGAGUAGGUUUCUGGACACCACAUUUGCGUGAGCAAAUUGAUUUAUCAUAAGUAGAUGUACAAUUUGUCUAAAAAACAAUUCUUGAAAGUGUAACAGUUGAAGCUUGUCUAACCAAGCGAAAAGAUGCUCAGUAUGUUGCCAAGUUCUUGUGUAGAGAAGUCAUAAGAGAUGGGGACUUUAAGAUUAAAUAUUCAAAGAUAACGGAGAAGAGUUUGUGGAUAAAACAGUGAAAUUGAUUUGAAAAAACUAACAAUUGAACAAUGUUUGGGAGCUGUGUACCAUCCGCAAAGCCAAGGUAUCUGUGAAAAAAAAUGAAUGGGGUGAUGAAAAAACCCUCUGGGUAAGAUUGGCCGGCACACAGGUUUACAUUUUGAUGAAGUAAAGGGGAGGUAUUACUUAGGGGGAAAUAUGAUAAACAUGUCAAAAAUGUAUGUUUUUGGCAAGAUACUGCUUAAUUUUUUCAUUCUCAGGACAGCAGUUGGGGAGACCAGCUAAAGAAAGGUGGUUCUCCAGAGAUCUAAACAGCCUUAAUGGACCCACACCUCCCAACAAGGACAAUCAAGCAUGGACAAUAUAAACAGAAACUGAAACCUGACAGAGGAUGUGAACAAGAACAUUGCAUUGGAUACACAAACGGAGAACACCCAUGGACAAGAACACUACACAAGCAGCCAAAGAUGUUAAGGAGCAAAAAUUAUUAUUCAUUUUAAUCAUAGAGUUUGUUAAUGUAUAAUCUAUGCUAUGAAUGUCAAUUUAUCUUUCUGUGUUGUAUUUUAAUGUUCAUGCAAAUACCAAACAGCAUACGAAGAAUGGAAAGUAUGAAAGGGGGGUUAGUUAUUCACAGCAUGAGUUGUAAAGUGAAUGUAUUGGGAUCUCAGGUGGUUUCUUUGUUUUCUCGUUGUAGGAUCAGUGAUGUUAGGCAGGGAUAGGUCCACUGGAAGUUCGAUGGGAUGACCAGACACAACAUUUUCUUUUAAAAUUUAUUAUAAAACUGUCCUAGUAUUAUUAUUUUCUGUUCUGUUGAAUAUGACUUGUAUUUUUUACUGUCUACUGAAAAUAAACUAUAGCUACAUUUCUCUCAGCCUCACGAGUAGAAAAACAAAGAUUAUCUUGAUGUAGUUUUUUGUCUGUCCUUGCAGUCCUGUUUAAUUUACAUUCUGCCCUGUUGGUUAAGAGUUGCGAUCAUCUUCUUGUCUUCAGGUUUCUUUCACGUCCCUCGCUGCCUCUACAUGUGUGAGCGUCUGCUGGAUGAUCUUCUGGGAAAUAAGGACUAAAAACAUAAUAAAUGUUAUAAAGUGAGAUUAAAUCUGAUCUCCUGGUCUGUUCCAGAUUAAAGAGUCAUGUUAUAAAGUGAGAUUGCACUGAUUGUCCAAUAUAUAGAAGCCUUAUGCAGACAUGCACCUCCUGAAUAAUCCUGC